Cebus imitator (Panamanian white-faced capuchin) is the source of this 843-nucleotide long non-coding RNA. RefSeq lists it as uncharacterized. The transcript has 9 exons. The record is from RefSeq and is a predicted model, not a curated record. NCBI's taxonomy places the organism in Eukaryota, Metazoa, Chordata, Mammalia, Primates, Cebidae.
UGCCCUUGCUGAUAGUUCUGAUGCUCAGUUGGAAAUCUCUGUUGGGAGCAGAAGAAAUCUCAACUGGGAAGAGAAGGGAAACCUAUGAUGGAAGACAUUGGACAGAAUCCACUGGAUGAUGUGUGCCAGAUGAUGGAAUUACCAUCAUUAGAAGCCAUAAAACAGAACCUUGACUGCCUGAAUUCAGACCUUGAAAAGGACCUGCAGAAACUGGAUAUGGAGAAUCAGAUUCUCCUUAGAAAAAUUAAAGAGAAAGAAGAAACUAUUCCAAGGAAAAAAGUAAUGCAAUCCUAAGCAGGAAUGUGGUGGAGCUUCAGAACAAGAUUUCAGGACGAUUUACAAAUGUCGGUUUUGAAAAAGAAACUACAGAGAAGAAACUGGAGGAAAUUAAGGCAAGGCUACAGAAGACAACAGAGUCCUGUGCAAAGCAAGAGGAGGAGCUGGCCAAGGUAGAGGCAGUGUCUCUUCCACAGAGGGUCUGCCCAGGAUAUAAUGAGAAAGAAACCCAAGGGUCUUAAAAACAGAUCUGAUUGAGGCAUGGGAGGGCGAAAAAUACCAGGAAGCUCUGAGGAAGAUGGAAGAGGAAGAGGAGGCACUGCUUCUUGAAAAAGAAAUAUCCAAAGCCCAGAAUGUCUCCUCUCAAAUAGUGAAACUGGGGUCAAUUUUGGUGGACACCACCCAAAACAACAUGGAGAAGACCACCAUUAAGAAACAAGAGAGAAUCUGUUGGUACAAGUAAGUGGAAGAAUCUUGCUCUUACCUAGCCUAGACCACAUUUCACUCUGCACAUUACCUGAUAAGGGCCAAAAGAACAAGGAUAAACAUAUCCACUGAUCAGAAUAC